Molecule: small RNA, 585 nt
Filed under: Pan troglodytes (chimpanzee)
Lineage: Eukaryota; Metazoa; Chordata; Mammalia; Primates; Hominidae
Description: processed transcript
Source: RNAcentral
AAAAGGUACCCGCGAGAGACAGCCAGCAGUUCUGUGGAGCAGCGGUGGCCGGCUAGGAUGGGCUCUCUCUGGGGUCUGGCUCUGCCCCUUUUCUUCUUCUGCUGGGAGGUUGGGGUCUCUGGGAGCUCUGCAGAUUUGAAGAUUGUACCAGGAGAGCCGCAGUGUUCCAGAGCUACCGAGGGGCUGGGCCGGGAUUUGCUGUAUUUGAGAAGACCCCCCUGGACCCGAGAGGCUGUGGGCUUGGGGAGCAUGAGGAGGUUUCACAGCAGAAAGGACACCCCGGGGCUCCUGGAUCGGAAAAUGUGCCAGGGGAAAUCGGGCUCCAAGGGCACCACUCUGGGCUUCCAGCUGUGUAGGCUGGACCAAGAAGGCUCAGAGAAAUGAUCUCAGGCUUGAAGUGGGGAGAACAAACUGUAUUAUGAAGGCAGACGAACAGUUCCUGCAAAAGCCCCAGCACCCGCAGAGCAGACACUGCGAUGACAACGGACGACACAGAAGUGCCCGCUAUGACUCCAGCACCGGGCCACGCCGCUCUGGAAACUCAAACGCUGAGCGCUGAGACCUCUUCUAGGGCCUCAACCCCAG